This is a small nucleolar RNA of Caenorhabditis elegans, 140 nucleotides long. The record is from Ensembl. Lineage: Eukaryota; Metazoa; Nematoda; Chromadorea; Rhabditida; Rhabditidae.
AGGGCGAAUAAAUUUUGGGAGAAAAGGGAGAAAUUCGGCGGGACAUUGAGUGAAAAAUCGCGAAAAUUCGACGAAAAACGAGUGAAAAUUGAAUUUUCUUGGAUUUUUGGAUUUCUGGCAAUUUCGGCCCGAAAUUCAGA